RNAcentral lists this ribosomal RNA (497 nucleotides) under uncultured bacterium. RNAcentral's name for it is "partial 16S ribosomal RNA". It matches the Rfam family "Bacterial small subunit ribosomal RNA", at positions 28 to 507 of the family's 1533-position model. The record is from RNAcentral.
GAUGAACGCUGGCGGCGUGCCUAAUACAUGCAAGUCGAGCGAACAGAUGAGGAGCUUGCUCCUCUGACGUUAGCGGCGGACGGGUGAGUAACACGUGGAUAACCUACCUAUAAGACUGGGAUAACUUCGGGAAACCGGAGCUAAUACCGGAUAAUAUAUUGAACCGCAUGGUUCAAUAGUGAAAGACGGUUUUGCUGUCACUUAUAGAUGGAUCCGCGCCGCAUUAGCUAGUUGGUAAGGUAACGGCUUACCAAAGCAACGAUGCGUAGACGACCUGAGAGGUUGACUAGCGACAUUUGAUCAGAGACAUGGUCAACAUUCCUAGGGGAGCAAGGAGUAGGGAAUCUGCCGAGUUGGACGCAGGCCUGACCGACAAACGCCGCUUUAGUUACGAAGGUCGUCGGAUCGUAAAACUAUGUUAGCAGGGAGUAAUCACGUUGUAAGUAACUAUGCAAGUCUUGACGGUACCUUAGCAGAAAGACACGGCUAAUUACGGU